This 205-nucleotide unclassified non-coding RNA is filed under the name Hevea brasiliensis (rubber tree). Lineage: Eukaryota; Viridiplantae; Streptophyta; Magnoliopsida; Malpighiales; Euphorbiaceae. The record is from RNAcentral.
GCACAUUCCUGAGCACUAAACAAGUUAAAAUUUUGUAAAAUGUAACAAACUUGAGACAUCCAUGGAGCAAAAAGAAAACGGCCAAAAAAUACAAAGAUUCUAAAAUGUACUAGUGCAAGCACUCCAAAUAGCCCCGGAAAACUAUGAUUUUUCUCAUUUUAUUUUGAUCAUCAAUUAUAUUCCUUAGCUAACCCUACCUGUUUAU